UGACCAGAGCCAAUCACAUCGACUCAACAACAGCACAAAUUCGUGAGAAUUUAUGGACUUCUAACAGCUGCAAACAAUGACCAGUCAGACUAUGAAAACGUAUCAGACGCUCAAACAGGAACUCCAGAACACACAUAUGUAGCUCCACUCCCGAUCUCAGUGUAUGAAAAUGAACAGCCUAAAGAAAGAAUAACUGAUGCCGAGGAGACUCCGGGUGUCUACGCCAACAUCAUCACAUCGUUGCCAAUCACCGACGACGAGGACGACUACGAGAACUCGGAAUUUCUGGACAAAGUUGUGCAGAAGCGAGAAGACGAUGAGCCGGACUAUGUAAAUGAAAACGAAUGACUGCACCCGACGUGGACGCCAGCAGAAAACACCAGUCACACUCUGAACUUUGUUAAACUUGAAUUUUUUAUUAAUAUUAUUCCUGCCCUGUGUCAUAUGGUAAUGAUGUGGACGGCUUUGUGAAUAAAAUUUCGAUUGUGUGUGAAAACUGAGGCUGCCAUCUAGUGGUGAUGAAUACAGAACAGUGAAUACAUAAAAUAGUGUUUCUCAAAAGAUUAGUUGUGAAACUGAGUAUUGAGUACUCCUAAAAGUGACACUUACUAUUUAAGUGGCUUACUCCCACUCCCAAAACUAAAAUCUUUAAAUCUGCCACUGCC
Etheostoma spectabile (orangethroat darter) is the source of this 665-nucleotide long non-coding RNA. RefSeq lists it as uncharacterized. Lineage: Eukaryota; Metazoa; Chordata; Actinopteri; Perciformes; Percidae. The record is from RefSeq and is a predicted model, not a curated record. The transcript is spliced from 8 exons.